CUGCUCAACGAUGAUGAACUCAUCUCCCACAUCCUCUCCAGGAUGGAUCUUGACUAUCAGCCGCUGAUCUCCGCCCUGGACGUCCGCACCGAGCCACUCUCCAUCGACCACCUGUUUGCCCUUAUGUCCAACUUUGAUC
Molecule: non-coding RNA, 139 nt
Organism: Triticum urartu
Lineage: Eukaryota; Viridiplantae; Streptophyta; Magnoliopsida; Poales; Poaceae
Source: Rfam